AGUGAACGCUGGCGGUAGGCCUAACACAUGCAAGUCGAACGGCAGCACAGUAAGAGCUUGCUCUUACGGGUGGCGAGUGGCGGACGGGUGAGGAAUACAUCGGAAUCUACUUUUUCGUGGGGGAUAACGUAGGGAAACUUACGCUAAUACCGCAUACGACCUACGGGUGAAAGCAGGGGAUCUUCGGACCUUGCGCGAUUGAAUGAGCCGAUGUCGGAUUAGCUAGUUGGCGGGGUAAAGGCCCACCAAGGCGACGAUCCGUAGCUGGUCUGAGAGGAUGACCCCCCACAGUGGAACUGAGCCACGGCCCAGCCCCCUCCGGGGGCCACCGUGGGGGAUUUUUGGAGAAGGGCGGCAGGCCGUACCCCGCCAUCCCGGGGGGGGGAAGAAGGCUUUGGGGUUGUAAACCCUUUUUGUGGGGAAAAAAAAACAGCAGUUUAAUCCCCCGCUUUUCGGACGCUCCCCAAAGAAUAACCCCCGCCUAUCUUCGUG
RNAcentral lists this ribosomal RNA (492 nucleotides) under uncultured bacterium. RNAcentral's name for it is "partial 16S ribosomal RNA". It matches the Rfam family "Bacterial small subunit ribosomal RNA", at positions 29 to 507 of the family's 1533-position model. The record is from RNAcentral.